Molecule: ribosomal RNA, 403 nt
Filed under: bacterium
Lineage: Bacteria
Description: partial 16S ribosomal RNA
Rfam family: Bacterial small subunit ribosomal RNA
Source: RNAcentral
UGGGGAAUAUUGCACAAUGGAGGGAACUCUGAUGCAGCGACGCCGCGUGAACGAAGAAGGCUUUCGAGUCGUAAAGUUCUUUUAUAUGGGAAGAUAAUGACGGUACCAUAAGAAGAAGCCCCGGCUAACUACGUGCCAGCAGCCGCGGUAAUACGUAGGGGGCUAGCGUUGUCCGGAAUCACUGGGCGUAAAGGGUUCGCAGGCGGAAAUGCAAGUCAGGUGUAAAAGGCAGUAGCUUAACUACUGUAAGCAUUUGAAACUGCAUAUCUUGAGAAGAGUAGAGGUAAGUGGAAUUUUUAGUGGAGCGGUGAAAUGCGUAGAUAUUAAAAAGAAUACCGGUGGCGAAGGCGACUUACUGGGCUCAUUCUGACGCUGAGGAACGAAAGCGUGGGUAGCAAACAGG